AGUCACCUACAAAGAGACGACAAUUCGUGAGCAUUCAUUUGUUUUCAUAUUUAUUGGAUACAUUCUUCAUUUCCUCUAGCAUAGCAAAGUAGUUUUCUUGUGCAUCAUACCAGUUGGAGCAUGCAAGUAAAAGAAACACCACGGAAAAGAUAGACUUUUUCGAUGAUGGGGAAGAAUAAAUGCAAACUGGGAAGCAGCAUGGAUUGUGUCUCUCUGCACCAUUGGAGAAAGGAAAUAUCAAGAAAUUUUAGAGAAACCGACAACAACACUGAAACAAAAGGCAUGAUCCUGGAGUACUAAACGAUUGGAAAUCUAGGCAUGACAGUUACAAGUAGGAAUGCAAGUUUCAUUUCUUUUGGAUCAUUUGGUCAACCUAAAUUUGAUAAAAUGAACUACAGUGACAUUCCAUGUAAUUAAGUUAGGGGAGAGAAAUUAACUAAAAUAGCAAGUCAAAAUAAUUUAUUAGCCGACGAAAAAACACCAUUAGGUACCCACUUGCACGCCUUGUUACAAGUGUAUAGAGAAGGUAAUUUUUUUCUGAGUUAUCCUGGCAUUAAUACCUGAGAUGCAUAUGCUUUACAAUAGAAUCAAUCUAGCAAUUGAACUCUUCUUUUUAUUCAUUUUCUACUUCCAUCCUUUUGCUUAAGUUAUGCAAAGUAGUAAUAUCAACAUCACCAGAAUU
Molecule: long non-coding RNA, 682 nt
Organism: Panicum hallii
Lineage: Eukaryota; Viridiplantae; Streptophyta; Magnoliopsida; Poales; Poaceae
Exons: 3
Source: RefSeq, a predicted model, not a curated record